GGGAAUGCAACGGUUUCGACGGGGAGAAAGAUGGUUAGAACUGCAUAUAGUGUUGCUUGCUAUCACUUUAAAAAAGCAGAAAAAAUUAAACAACAACAACGUAGAAAAUAACUACGCAAUGGCUGCUUAAUAAAAUAAGCAACCUCGCUUGAUCUGUCCUCGCUUAUCGGGGUAGUAAAAGCGUCAUUUCAGAUAAGAUAGUCAUUAAGAUCGUCUGAGUUUUGAUGAUGAAACUAAAUCAGAAUAGCAUUUAUUAAGGCUUGUCUGCCUGCCUGCUGAAUGUGAAGUUUAAAAAUGCAGACUAAAUAUGUAGAAGUUUUAAUGGUCUUCUUUCCGGACCCGAGUUCGACUCUCGGCAUUUCCACAA
This 367-nucleotide transfer-messenger RNA is filed under the name Ignavibacteria. RNAcentral's name for it is "JAGPCH01 sp018058125 Standard tmRNA". It matches the Rfam family "transfer-messenger RNA". Rfam says of the family: Bacterial tmRNA, also known as 10Sa RNA or SsrA, is named for its dual tRNA and mRNA-like properties. Its role is to liberate the mRNA from a stalled ribosome. To accomplish this part of the tmRNA is used as a reading frame that ends in a translation stop signal. Lineage: Bacteria; Pseudomonadati; Ignavibacteriota. RNAcentral also lists the same sequence under 1 other name. The record is from RNAcentral.